RNAcentral lists this ribosomal RNA (823 nucleotides) under uncultured bacterium. RNAcentral's name for it is "bacterial SSU rRNA". It matches the Rfam family "Bacterial small subunit ribosomal RNA", at positions 28 to 898 of the family's 1533-position model. The record is from RNAcentral.
AACGAACGCUGGCGGCAUGCCUAACACAUGCAAGUNGAACGACCUUUCGGGUUUAGUGGCGCACGGGUGCGUAACGCGUGGGAAUCUGCCUUUAGGUACGGAAUAACUCAGGGAAACUUGUGNUAAUACNGUAUGAUGUCUUCGGACCAAAGAUUUAUCGCCUAGGGAUGAGCCCGCGUUGGAUUAGNUAGUUGGUGGGNNAAAGGCCUNCCANGGCGACGAUCCAUAGNUGGUCUGAGAGGAUGAUCANCCACACUGGGACUGAGACACGNCCCAGACUCNUACGGGAGGCAGCAGUGGGGAAUAUUGGACAAUGGGCGCAAGCCUGAUCCAGCAAUGCCGCGUGAGUGAUGAAGGCCUUAGGGUUGUAAAGCUCUUUUNCCCGGGAAGAUAAUGACUGUACCGGGAGAAUAAGCCCCGGCUAACUCCGUNCCAGCAGCCGCGGUAAUACGGAGGGGGCUAGCGUUGUCCGGAAUUACUGGGCGUAAAGCGUACGUAGGCGGCUUUGUAAGUUAGAGGUGAAAGCCCGGGGCUCAACCCCGGAAUUNCCUUUAAGACUGCAUCGCUUGAACGUCGGAGAGGUGAGUGGAAUUCCGAGUGUAGAGGUGAAAUUCGUAGAUAUUCGGAAGAACACCAGUGGCGAAGGCGGCUCACUGGACGACUGUUGACGCUGAGGUACGAAAGCGUGGGGAGCAAACAGGAUUAGAUACCCUGGUAGUCCACGCCGUAAACGAUGAUAACUAGCUGUCCGGGCACUUGGUGCUUGGGUGGCGCAGCUAACGCAUUAAGUUAUCCGCCUGGGGAGUACGGCCGCAAGGUUAAA